Long non-coding RNA from Photinus pyralis (common eastern firefly), 2832 nucleotides. RefSeq lists it as uncharacterized. The transcript has 3 exons. The record is from RefSeq and is a predicted model, not a curated record. Lineage: Eukaryota; Metazoa; Arthropoda; Insecta; Coleoptera; Lampyridae.
GCAGGAUAGGUUUCUUUUUACGUUUUGAGAAAUCGAUUUGCCAAUUUAGAAAAUUUCAAUCAUCAUACCUAUCUUCGGUAGUUUUCUUUUAAUCUCGCAUUCUUGGACUAAUUUGUUUUUUUUUAAUUUUUCAGACAUAAAUAGCUAAUAGGCCGUAAUAAAUAAACAAAUACUUAACGAGGGAAGAAUCUUUUAAAGUGGUUUUGGAAAGAUUUACAGAAACAAGGAAUGUUUACUAUCCUCAAAAGCAGAGAGACUGAAGUCUGUCUUAAACGAAGAAAAUGAAUUCAAUAUUUUAACAGCAAUUAUAGAAAAUCCGCAUGUGUCUAAUACAUAAUACAUUUGGAAAAAAAUUUCAGACUAUCAGAAGAAUAAUAAAAAAAAACAGAUUUCAUCCUUAUCAUCUUCAGCAACAUUAAGAGCUUAAAGAAUUAGAUUUUCAAAAUAGAAUUGAUUUUUGUAAUUGGAUAGAGCAAAACCUAAAUCAGGAUGGAAUUUUUUUUUAUAAAACUAUGUUUAUUGAUGCGUGUACAUUUCACUGAAAUGGUUUUGUUAACCGGCAUAAUUUCUAUUAUUAUUCUGAUGAAAAUAGUCAACAAAUUAUGUAUUAUCAACAAGAUGGGGCACCUGCACAUCCUUACCGUGCCCGUCAUGUACCUAAAGGUGGAUAGGAAAGGAUGGACCAAUACGUUGGCCAGCGAGGCCUCCCGAUAUAAUCCAUUUGAUUUCAUUUUGUGAAGGUAUGUCAAGAAAAUGCAUACAAACAACAACCAACAACGGCGGAGGUCCACCCUGUAUACAUAUACCCGCUUCUUUUUGCUUUAAGAUAUAUCUACCUCAUCAACUCGAAAAUGAAGUUACGGAAGUGGGGCAGUAUAGCUUAAGGAUAAAACAUUCUUAGUUAAAAUUAGUAGCUUACAGUUGUGGUCAGAUGAAAUGUCCUCCCUAAGAUACCUACUUCAAAUCACAUAACUAUAGAUUUAGUUCAAUAUCAUUUCAAUGUUAGGGAGUUUCCUUAUUUUGAAAAGAAGCUCAAAACUCACGGGGGAUUUGGUAUAUUAAUUAUGUGCUACACGUUCCAGAUAAUCGAAGGACAUUAUUUUUGACCAAAACCGUACCAUUGUUUAACUACUUUAUUAAACAAUGACCGUACCUAUGUAUUCAAAAGGUAGCAGGUAGCGACCGUUUUUUUUGUUCAAGCGUAACGGACUGGUUCGAUCGAAGGGUUGUAUAUACAAUAUAAACCGGUACGCAUUUGGGUAUAAAGGUAGGUACAUAUAAGUCGGUACAAGAAACAAAUAUCAAUACGAAUGUAGAAAAAGGAAACAAAAUUUAUUAGGAAAUAACGCGUAUGUGUGCAUAACGAAAGAAACAGGCUUUGAUUAUAGUUCAGCAUCUUGGAGUAACAUGUAGAUGAAUCAACAUUGGACAAUGAAGUAAAGCAUCAUAUUUUGUUUUUCUUCUUGCAUCUCUUCUACGUUUCCUACACAAUUUUCAAAUGAAAAAUAACUGACAUGUAAAUAUACCAACUGAAAACAUUCACUUUAUUUUUUAAUGAGGUAGUAACCAUCUUUUAUACCAUUAUAUAUAUGUACAGUGUGUCCACGGAUUGAGUGCACAUUUUAUUUAUGUUCUGAGGAUCGCUCCCACUGCUUGAUCUCAAACUAAAACAUUGAAAAAAUGAGCCAAAUUUGCCGAAUUUUAAAAGUUGGUCAAGAGUAAACUGUCUUUAUUUUAGCAGAUAACAAUCCAUUAAACAAAAGUUGUUCGGAAUUAAAAGAAGACUUUAAUUUGCAUACAAUUGAUCUUCGAACUCGUUUGUAACAAAAAUCAAAGCCGGCUGAUUUGUAUAAAAACUGAAAGUCUACCAUAUCUGCCAAGCUGAUAUGUGAUUGUUUUUUACACGACUUACCUACUGCAGAUUUUAAAUUGUCUCAUUGUGUUAUUGAUGAAAAAAAUCAAAGUAGGCUGAUUUGUAUGAAAAUUGAAAGUCUUCCAUAACAUUAAUUUUAAAGAACUUUUUUUUAAUACAUUUAGGUUACAUUUUUUUAAUAUCUUAGCAGGAGCGAUCCUCGGAACAAGACCCAACUCUAAAAAAUUGUCAUAUAUACACCUUACGUGCGCUCAAUCCGUGGACACACAAGUCCUAGGAUUAGGUCAUUCCUGGAAUCCAGGAAGCUAGUUUGGUUAGCUGUCAUUGUGGUGCUUGUAUUAUUUACAUAAGCUUAUGGUAUGCCCUCAACUGCUUUAAAGGGUCGUAGAUAUUACUGUAAGUGUCACGUAUGCUAGGACGAAUCAAUUCCAAACUCUUCAGUUUUGAAAUACUUAAGUAUUAUGUGUUACAUUAUAUACAGUAUACACAUGCAAACAGCAUUGUUUCAAAUAAAGGAAACCUUUGAAAUGGUAUGAAGUAUUAAGUAUAAGUACUUAUCAGAUACACAUUCAGUAUACUAUAUUAGAUAUAACAGAACCUCGCGUCCUGCUCAUGCCAUGAAACUACAGACAGUUUCAAGGAAAUUAUUGUAUGCUGGAUGACAGAAAAUGGAUUGUAGAAUAAGCAAGGGAUAAAGACAGCGCAUGGUGGAAAAAGACGGGAUUUAUUCGUCCAGACGAAGCAAAAACUACAAAGCAUUCUACCUGCAUUUUUGGUAUGGUAAUAUCUCUGAUGGUGGCAUUUAUUUGCCAGCUAGUUGUUCAUCGCUAACGCAAACUGAAAAAUUGUUCAAUUUUUGACCUACAUUUUAUAUUCAAAGGUUCAAUGAUUCUUACUUUUAGCAUUAGGAGAAUUUUGUUUGUACAUGCAUACAAGUAUUAUUAAACGCACGAUUUUAA